GGCCCUCCUGAUUGAUGCUUACCACAGGUUCCGUUCUUACUCUGACCAUAUAGAAAAAGGGUAGGCAGAGUAGGCCUAUCCCACGUCGGCCUCAGCCCAGGCCCUGCGCCUGCUGGGUGUUAUGAAUGGGAAAACAUGG
Molecule: small nucleolar RNA, 139 nt
Organism: Marmota marmota marmota (Alpine marmot)
Lineage: Eukaryota; Metazoa; Chordata; Mammalia; Rodentia; Sciuridae
Source: Ensembl